UGGGGAAUUUUGGACAAUGGGCGCAAGCCUGAUCCAGCCGUGCCGCGUGCAGGAUGAAGGCCCUCGGGUUGUAAACUGCUUUUGUACGGAACGAAAAGCCUCUUUCUAAUAAAGAGGGGUGAUGACGGUACCGUAAGAAUAAGCACCGGCUAACUACGUGCCAGCAGCCGCGGUAAUACGUAGGGUGCGAGCGUUAAUCGGAAUUACUGGGCGUAAAGCGUGCGCAGGCGGUCUUGCAAGACAGUGGUGAAAUCCCCGGGCUCAACCUAGGAACUGCCAUUGUGACUGCAAGGCUGGAGUACGGCAGAGGGGGAUGGAAUUCCGCGUGGAGCAGUGAAAUGCGUAGAUAUGCGGAGGAACACCGAUGGCGAAGGCAGUCCCCUGGGCCUGUACUGACGCUCAUGCACGAAAGCGUGGGGAGCAAACA
Molecule: ribosomal RNA, 427 nt
Filed under: uncultured bacterium
Lineage: Bacteria
Description: bacterial SSU rRNA
Rfam family: Bacterial small subunit ribosomal RNA
Source: RNAcentral